RNAcentral lists this transfer RNA (67 nucleotides) under Cosmoscarta bispecularis. Its description in RNAcentral is "tRNA-Phe". Lineage: Eukaryota; Metazoa; Arthropoda; Insecta; Hemiptera; Cercopidae. The record is from RNAcentral.
AUUUUGGUAGCUUAAAAUAUUAAAGCAUAAUAUUGAAGAUAUUAUUAUAGUUAUAAACUUCAAAAUA